This is a long non-coding RNA of Mesocricetus auratus (golden hamster), 563 nucleotides long. RefSeq lists it as uncharacterized. The transcript has 4 exons. The record is from RefSeq and is a predicted model, not a curated record. Lineage: Eukaryota; Metazoa; Chordata; Mammalia; Rodentia; Cricetidae.
AUAAUGAAAACUUUUGCUCAUAUGUCUCAUGAAUGCUUCUAUUUUCAAGGUCAACUAAACCAUUUUUUGCUUUCAGGAAAGACAAAUGCACUUUUCUUCAAGCGAUAUACCGUAAAAUGUUUCCACGAGAUUAUCCCAUCUGUGCGCGGCAGCCGGCUGGCUCUGGCCAGUGUGUACAGCAAAUGCUUGCCGGGGGCACUGUUCAGACAUCUCACUUUGACCUAGAAAUGAGGGAGGACGCUGGGAAGAGAGCCACGCCUGUGGUCUGAACUUCUGGCACCAGGUUUUCCAGUUGCUUCUGUGGCUGCAGGGUCUUACCUACUAUCCCUGGCUGGCAAAGAACUUGCUACGAUGGUAAGGCUGGCCUGCAGCUCACGGAGAUCCAGCUGCCUCUGUACCCUGAGUGCUAGGAUCAGAGGCAUUGAAGAGGAUCCAGAGGCAGGACAUGGCACAGCUUCCUGUUCCAGGCUAGGAUGACUCUACAGAGACCCUGGUCCCAUUCAUUCUAGACAGAGGACCAGGCAGUCGCCGCCAGACAAAGACUGAAAUUAAGGCUUCCUUCU